AGCCCAGAGCCUGAAUCAGUGUGUGUGUUAGUGGAAGCGUCUGGAAAGGCGCGCGAUACAGGGUGACAGCCCCGUACACAAAAAUGCACAUACUGUGAGCUCGAUGAGUAGGGCGGGACACGUGGUAUCCUGUCUGAAUAUGGGGGGACCAUCCUCCAAGGCUAAAUACUCCUGACUGACCGAUAGUGAACCAGUACCGUGAGGGAAAGGCGAAAAGAACCCCGGCGAGGGGAGUGAAAAAGAACCUGAAACCGUGUACGUACAAGCAGUGGGAGCCUCUUUAUGGGGUGACUGCGUACCUUUUGUAUAAUGGGUCAGCGACUUAUAUUCUGUAGCAAGGUUAACCGAAUAGGGGAGCCGAAGGGAAACCGAGUCUUAACUGGGCGUUAAGUUGCAGGGUAUAGACCCGAAACCCGGUGAUCUAGCCAUGGGCAGGUUGAAGGUUGGGUAACACUAACUGGAGGACCGAACCGACUAAUGUUGAAAAAUUAGCGGAUGACUUGUGGCUGGGGGUGAAAGGCCAAUCAAACCGGGAGAUAGCUGGUUCUCCCCGAAAGCUAUUUAGGUAGCGCCUCGUGAAUUCAUCUCCGGGGGUAGAGCACUGUUUCGGCAAGGGGGUCAUCCCGACUUACCAACCCGAUGCAAACUGCGAAUACCGGAGAAUGUUAUCACGGGAGACACACGGCGGGUGCUAACGUCCGUCGUGAAGAGGGAAACAACCCAGACCGCCAGCUAAGGUCCCAAAGUCAUGGUUAAGUGGGAAACGAUGUGGGAAGGCCCAGACAGCCAGGAUGUUGGCUUAGAAGCAGCCAUCAUUUAAAGAAAGCGUAAUAGCUCACUGGUCGAGUCGGCCUGCGCGGAAGAUGUAACGGGGCUAAACCAUGCACCGAAGCUGCGGCAGCGACACUAUGUGUUGUUGGGUAGGGGAGCGUUCUGUAAGCCUGUGAAGGUGUACUGUGAGGUAUGCUGGAGGUAUCAGAAGUGCGAAUGCUGACAUAAGUAACGAUAAAGCGGGUGAAAAGCCCGCUCGCCGGAAGACCAAGGGUUCCUGUCCAACGUUAAUCGGGGCAGGGUGAGUCGACCCCUAAGGCGAGGCCGAAAGGCGUAGUCGAUGGGAAACAGGUUAAUAUUCCUGUACUUGGUGUUACUGCGAAGGGGGGACGGAGAAGGCUAUGUUGGCCGGGCGACGGUUGUCCCGGUUUAAGCGUGUAGGCUGGUUUUCCAGGCAAAUCCGGAAAAUCAAGGCUGAGGCGUGAUGACGAGGCACUACGGUGCUGAAGCAACAAAUGCCCUGCUUCCAGGAAAAGCCUCUAAGCAUCAGGUAACAUCAAAUCGUACCCCAAACCGACACAGGUGGUCAGGUAGAGAAUACCAAGGCGCUUGAGAGAACUCGGGUGAAGGAACUAGGCAAAAUGGUGCCGUAACUUCGGGAGAAGGCACGCUGAUAUGUAGGUGAAGUCCCUCGCGGAUGGAGCUGAAAUCAGUCGAAGAUACCAGCUGGCUGCAACUGUUUAUUAAAAACACAGCACUGUGCAAACACGAAAGUGGACGUAUACGGUGUGACGCCUGCCCGGUGCCGGAAGGUUAAUUGAUGGGGUUAGCGGUAACGCGAAGCUCUUGAUCGAAGCCCCGGUAAACGGCGGCCGUAACUAUAACGGUCCUAAGGUAGCGAAAUUCCUUGUCGGGUAAGUUCCGACCUGCACGAAUGGCGUAAUGAUGGCCAGGCUGUCUCCACCCGAGACUCAGUGAAAUUGAACUCGCUGUGAAGAUGCAGUGUACCCGCGGCAAGACGGAAAGACCCCGUGAACCUUUACUAUAGCUUGACACUGAACAUUGAGCCUUGAUGUGUAGGAUAGGUGGGAGGCUUUGAAGUGUGGACGCCAGUCUGCAUGGAGCCGGCCUUGAAAUACCACCCUUUAAUGUUUGAUGUUCUAACGUUGGCCCCUGAUCGGGGUUGCGGACAGUGUCUGGUGGGUAGUUUGACUGGGGCGGUCUCCUCCUAAAGAGUAACGGAGGAGCACGAAGGUUGGCUAAUCCUGGUCGGACAUCAGGAGGUUAGUGCAAUGGCAUAAGCCAGCUUGACUGCGAGCGUGACGGCGCGAGCAGGUGCGAAAGCAGGUCAUAGUGAUCCGGUGGUUCUGAAUGGAAGGGCCAUCGCUCAACGGAUAAAAGGUACUCCGGGGAUAACAGGCUGAUACCGCCCAAGAGUUCAUAUCGACGGCGGUGUUUGGCACCUCGAUGUCGGCUCAUCACAUCCUGGGGCUGAAGUAGGUCCCAAGGGUAUGGCUGUUCGCCAUUUAAAGUGGUACGCGAGCUGGGUUUAGAACGUCGUGAGACAGUUCGGUCCCUAUCUGCCGUGGGCGCUGGAGAACUGAGGGGGGCUGCUCCUAGUACGAGAGGACCGGAGUGGACGCAUCACUGGUGUUCGGGUUGUCAUGCCAAUGGCACUGCCCGGUAGCUAAAUGCGGAAGAGAUAAGUGCUGAAAGCAUCUAAGCACGAAACUUGCCCCGAGAUGAGUUCUCCCUGACUCCUUGAGAGUCCUGAAGGAACGUUGAAGACGACGACGUUGAUAGGCCGGGUGUGUAAGCGCAGCGAUGCGUUGAGCUAACCGGUACUAAUGAACCGUGAGGCUUAACCUUACAACGCCGAAG
This 2652-nucleotide ribosomal RNA is filed under the name Escherichia coli. Its description in RNAcentral is "partial 23S ribosomal RNA". It matches the Rfam family "Bacterial large subunit ribosomal RNA", at positions 296 to 2925 of the family's 2925-position model. The record is from RNAcentral. Lineage: Bacteria; Pseudomonadati; Pseudomonadota; Gammaproteobacteria; Enterobacterales; Enterobacteriaceae.